CCGGGGAAAGUCGACUGUUCGGAGUUGCUUCAGGGACAAUCCUGCUACGAACCUGAUAGCGUGGGCGCUCAUGCUUCGUAUGCUUUUGACAGUUAUUAUCACAAGAUGGGGAUGGCUUCUGGUACCUGCUACUUCAAUGGAGUUGCUGCCAUUACUACCUCAGAUCCCAGUAAGUAGAUUAGGAUUUUGACCAUAGUUCAAAAAGCGAAAAUAGCGGCAAAGCGGUUUUUUUGGACCGCUUUGCCAAACGCUUUUUUCAAAUGUUAUAAUGUGUUUUUUGGACCAUUAAUGAGGUAUUUAUUUAUCUCAUACACGUGUUAUUUAUCUCAUUUGACAGAUCUAUGAGAUAAAAAUAAUCCGUGUCUAUUAAUGGGGUAUUUAUUUACCUCAUACACGUAUUAUUUAUCUCAUUUGACAGAUCUAUGAGAUAAAAAUAAUACGUGUCUAUUAAUGGGAAGUUAAAGAUAGCUAAAAAUAUAACCGCUUUAGCUAAAUAAUACGUGUCUAUUAAUGGGAAGUUAAAGCUUUAACCGCUUUAGCUAAAUAGCUAAAGAUAUAUCUGUUUAUAUUUAGCUAAAAUAACCGCUUUAGCUAUUUAGGGUUAUAUAUAGCUAAACCGCUUUAACCGCUUUAAGCGACGCUAAAGCGGUUAAAGCUAAAAAAGCGCUCCCUGGAAAUUGGGAGCGCUUUCCGCUUUUUCGAACUAUGAUUUUGACUAAGACAUUAAUCACCAAAUAAAUUCUCAUCGUGAAUUCAUUAAUUGCAGGUAGCGACUCUUGCGUGUUCCCUGGGAGGUAUGGAUAUUAAAUAAUAAUCUCCAGGGUUUAGGAUUUUG
RNAcentral lists this long non-coding RNA (835 nucleotides) under Zostera marina. Its description in RNAcentral is "long non-coding RNA (ZMAR_LNC003273)". Lineage: Eukaryota; Viridiplantae; Streptophyta; Magnoliopsida; Alismatales; Zosteraceae. The record is from RNAcentral.